RNAcentral lists this transfer RNA (87 nucleotides) under Candidatus Kaiserbacteria bacterium. Its description in RNAcentral is "tRNA-Ser". It matches the Rfam family "tRNA". Rfam says of the family: Transfer RNA (tRNA) molecules are approximately 80 nucleotides in length. Their secondary structure includes four short double-helical elements and three loops (D, anti-codon, and T loops). Further hydrogen bonds mediate the characteristic L-shaped molecular structure. tRNAs have two regions of fundamental functional importance: the anti-codon, which is responsible for specific mRNA codon recognition, and the 3' end, to which the tRNAs corresponding amino acid is attached (by aminoacyl-tRNA synthetases). tRNAs cope with the degeneracy of the genetic code in two manners: having more than one tRNA (with a specific anti-codon) for a particular amino acid; and 'wobble' base-pairing, i.e. permitting non-standard base-pairing at the 3rd anti-codon position. Lineage: Bacteria; Candidatus Kaiseribacteriota. The record is from RNAcentral.
GGAGAGUUGGCUGAGUGGUCGAAAGCACCUCACUGCUAACGAGGCAGGGUUUAAACGCCCUCGUGGGUUCAAAUCCCACACUCUCCG